GCCCGCCUAGCUCAAUCGGAUAGAGCGUCAGACUCUUACGGCGGGUUGAUCCCAGUGAUCUGAAGGCUGCGAGUUCGACCCUCGCGGUGGGCU
Molecule: non-coding RNA, 93 nt
Organism: Lyophyllum atratum
Lineage: Eukaryota; Fungi; Basidiomycota; Agaricomycetes; Agaricales; Lyophyllaceae
Source: the annotation of a GenBank genome assembly